Molecule: ribosomal RNA, 456 nt
Filed under: uncultured Bacillota bacterium
Lineage: Bacteria; Bacillati; Bacillota
Description: bacterial SSU rRNA
Rfam family: Bacterial small subunit ribosomal RNA
Source: RNAcentral
CACAAGCGGUGGAGCAUGUGGUUUAAUUCGAAGCAACGCGAAGAACCUUACCAGGUCUUGACAUCCUUUUGAAUGGUCUAGAGAUAGAUCAGGCCUUCGGGACAGAAGAGACAGGUGGUGCAUGGUUGUCGUCAGCUCGUGUUGUGAGAUGUUGGGUUAAGUCCCGCAACGAGCGCAACCCUUAUCAUUAGUUGCUAACAUUCAGUUGAGAACUCUAAUGAGACUGCCAGUGAUAAACUGGAGGAAGGUGGGAUGACGUCAAAUCAUCAUGCCCCUUAUGACCUGGGCUACACACGUGCUACAAUGGCCGGUACAAAGAGUUGCGAAACUGUGAAGUUAAGCUAAUCUCAUAAAGCCGGUCUCAGUUCGGAUUGUAGUCUGCAACUCGACUACAUGAAGUCGGAAUCGCUAGUAAUCGCGAAUCAGAAUGUCGCGGUGAAUACGUUCUCGAGUCUU